UUCGUAUUGAUCAUCUCAUAACGUUGGGCGGAAAAAGACCAAAGCGUCUCAACUACACAUAUAUGAUCUUUCUUUUUUGGAUCUAUCAGAAAUUCACCAUAAACUUGAGGUAAGGAGGAAGAACAAGAAGGAGAAAUAAUAAUAAUAAACAAGGGAAUAUAAGAAGGCUAAAUAUAAGCCUAUGCUGACAGGCGAAUUUUCACAUGCAUCAAAAGUUGCCUCAAAACAGAUCCAACAAACCAAAUCACAACCACAACCGAGAAAAAGAGAGCGAGGCCAGACGGCUAUCCUAUCAGGCAGUACUACAUGAAGCAACUAUUGGACUGGAGCGAAGGGAAGCAGACGGCCGGGGUGAUGCGAUGGAUGGAUCGAUCAGCGCUUGAUGGCCUUGACCUUGUUCCACGUCUUCUUGCCGAAGUCGCCGACGACCCUGACGCCCUUGAGCACCGCCACCUUCACCUCCAUGGUCCGCUCCUUCACCUGCCGCUGGAACCCUCCCAUCUCUCUUCUCUUCCCUUCUCUUCUCUUCUCUUCUUGGUCGGAGAGGAUUCGUGUGGCUCGCUGGAGGAGACAAAGAAGACGAUGGUGAUUGGCGAUUUGCCGGGUUGGGUGGCGAAAAUGUCGUGCGGAUGGUGGUGGGCUAGCACUGGGGAUAUAUAGCCGGUGCGGGUUUGCGUGUAGACCUGAACCAGAUGGCGGAGGCUGAGCUGUAAAGUAUGGGGUGUGGUGUACCUGCGGGCUGCGGCGGCGGUUGAAGGAUGGAUUGCCAGGGAACCAGCUUGAAUCACAAGUCACACACACAAAAAAAAAGCCACAAACAGAAGGAGCGUAGUAGCAGUUGGGGUGGGGAGAGGAUCUGUGGGCCUGGUGCACGGGUACAGCUCACAGGGUCCAGCUGUCAACGGG
RNAcentral lists this ribosomal RNA (906 nucleotides) under Triticum aestivum (bread wheat). RNAcentral describes it as "partial small subunit ribosomal RNA". Lineage: Eukaryota; Viridiplantae; Streptophyta; Magnoliopsida; Poales; Poaceae. The record is from RNAcentral.